UACGGGGGGGGCAAGCGUUGUUCGGAAUUACUGGGCGUAAAGGGCUCGUAGGUGGCCAACUCAGUCAGACGUGAAAUCCCUCGGCUUAACCGGGGAACUGCGUCUGAUACUAGUUGGCUUGAGGUUGGGAGAGGGAUGCGGAAUUCCAGGUGUAGCGGUGAAAUGCGUAGAUAUCUGGAGGAACACCGGUGGCGAAGGCGGCAUCCUGGACCAAUUCUGACACUGAGGAGCGAAAGCCAGGGGAGCAAACGGG
This 253-nucleotide ribosomal RNA is filed under the name uncultured bacterium. Its description in RNAcentral is "partial 16S ribosomal RNA". It matches the Rfam family "Bacterial small subunit ribosomal RNA", at positions 524 to 776 of the family's 1533-position model. The record is from RNAcentral.